ACCCGCUGAACUUAAGCAUAUCAAUAAGCGGAGGAAAAGAAACCAACAGGGAUUGCCUUAGUAACGGCGAGUGAAGCGGCAAAAGCUCAAAUUUGAAAUCUGGCACCUUCGGUGUCCGAGUUGUAAUUUGAAGAAGGUAACUUUGGAGUCAGCUCUUGUCUAUGUUCCUUGGAACAGGACGUCACAGAGGGUGAGAAUCCCGUGCGAUGAGAUGUCUGAUUCUAUGUAAAGUGCUUUCGAAGAGUCGAGUUGUUUGGGAAUGCAGCUCUAAGUGGGUGGUAAAUUCCAUCUAAAGCUAAAUAUUGGCGAGAGACCGAUAGCGAACAAGUACAGUGAUGGAAAGAUGAAAAGAACUUUGAAAAGAGAGUGAAAAAGUACGUGAAAUUGUUGAAAGGGAAGGGUUUGAGAUCAGACUUGGUAUUUUGUAUGUCUUGCUUUCGGGUGGGGCCUCUACAGUUUACUGGGCCAGCAUCGGUUUGGACGGUAGGAUAAUGACAUUGGAAUGUGGCACCACUUCGGUGGUGUGUUAUAGACUUUGUUGAUACUGCCUGUCUAGACCGAGGACUGC
RNAcentral lists this ribosomal RNA (568 nucleotides) under Scheffersomyces stipitis. RNAcentral's name for it is "eukaryotic LSU rRNA". It matches the Rfam family "Eukaryotic large subunit ribosomal RNA", at positions 23 to 598 of the family's 3401-position model. RNAcentral also lists the same sequence under 1 other name. Lineage: Eukaryota; Fungi; Ascomycota; Pichiomycetes; Serinales; Debaryomycetaceae. The record is from RNAcentral.